This 253-nucleotide ribosomal RNA is filed under the name uncultured bacterium. Its description in RNAcentral is "partial 16S ribosomal RNA". It matches the Rfam family "Bacterial small subunit ribosomal RNA", at positions 524 to 776 of the family's 1533-position model. The record is from RNAcentral.
UACGGAGGGUGCAAGCGUUAUCCGGAUUUAUUGGGUUUAAAGGGUGCGUAGGCGGCUAUUUAAGUCAGUGGUGAAAUCCUGCAGCUCAACUGUAGAACAGCCUUUGAAACUGAAUAGCUUGAGUGAUCUUGAGGUAGGCGGAAUGUGUAGUGUAGCGGUGAAAUGCUUAGAUAUUACACAGAACACCGAUUGCGAAGGCAGCUUACCAAGGGUUUACUGACGCUGACGCACGAAAGCGUGGGGAUCAAACAGG